UUUCCGUAGGUGAACCUGCGGAAGGAUCAUUUCCGAACAAAAAACUUACAGACCAACCAUGUGAACCGUUUUGGGUUUUUUCUUACUCUUCCUUUUCCCCUGAUUUGCUGUCCAUCUUCCCUCUCGUAGGGGAGAGAAGACAUGUGAAUCAUGGUUCUCAAAAGGGAGAGGCCAUUAUGAACUACCUUGUCACUAAGGUUGAUUGCUAUCGUUCUUGAUUUUUUUUCCAUACUUUGGAAAAACAAAUAAAUGAUACGACAACUUUUAACGGUGGAUCUCUUGGCUCGU
Molecule: unclassified non-coding RNA, 288 nt
Filed under: plant metagenome
Description: partial contains small subunit ribosomal RNA, internal transcribed spacer 1, and 5.8S ribosomal RNA
Source: RNAcentral